Molecule: long non-coding RNA, 294 nt
Filed under: Elaeis guineensis (African oil palm)
Lineage: Eukaryota; Viridiplantae; Streptophyta; Magnoliopsida; Arecales; Arecaceae
Description: long non-coding RNA (EGUI_LNC052624)
Source: RNAcentral
UAAUGAGAUAUGUCGUGAUCUCAUCAUCGACAUCAUCGAAACUCCUUUCGAUGGAUCAGAACUCUUCUGAUUCAGACAAUUAGAAUGAUCGAUCAUCAAGAUCAUUCUAAUUGCUCCCAAAAUCUAUCAGUGACACCUAGCAGUAUAUGGUGGCAAUCCAUCAGAACUGAAGAUGAACCUCUCGAUGCAGCUAUCUGUGUGAUUGAGUUCCUCUAUCAUGAGUCCCAACUGAAUUAGGGUUAAAAAGAACUCGUCAAACCCAACAUCAGUCAUAUGAAUCAAUCGAUCGAUCCG